GACGAACGCUGGCGGCGUGCCUAAUACAUGCAAGUCGAGCGGACCGACGGGAGCUUGCUCCCUUAGGUCAGCGGCGGACGGGUGAGUAACACGUGGGUAACCUGCCUGUAAGACUGGGAUAACUCCGGGAAACCGGGGCUAAUACCGGAUGCUUGAUUGAACCGCAUGGUUCAAUCAUAAAAGGUGGCUUUUAGCUACCACUUGCAGAUGGACCCGCGGCGCAUUAGCUAGUUGGUGAGGUAGCGGCUCACCAAGGCGACGAUGCGUAGCCGACCUGAGAGGGUGAUCGGCCACACUGGGACUGAGACACGGCCCAGACUCCUACGGGAGGCAGCAGUAGGGAAUCUUCCGCAAUGGACGAAAGUCUGACGGAGCAACGCCGCGUGAGUGAUGAAGGUUUUCGGAUCGUAAAACUCUGUUGUUAGGGAAGAACAAGUACCGUUCGAAUAGGGCGGUACCUUGACGGUACCUAACCAGAAAGCCACGGCUAACUACGUGCCAGCAGCCGCGGUAAUACGUAGGUGGCAAGCGUUGUCCGGAAUUAUUGGGCGUAAAGCGCGCGCAGGCGGUUUCUUAAGUCUGAUGUGAAAGCCCCCGGCUCAACCGGGGAGGGUCAUUGGAAACUGGGGAACUUGAGUGCAGAAGAGGAGAGUGGAAUUCCACGUGUAGCGGUGAAAUGCGUAGAGAUGUGGGGGAACACCAGUGGCGAAGGCGACUCUCUGGUCUGUAACUGACGCUGAG
Molecule: ribosomal RNA, 741 nt
Filed under: uncultured Bacilli bacterium
Lineage: Bacteria; Bacillati; Bacillota; Bacilli
Description: bacterial SSU rRNA
Rfam family: Bacterial small subunit ribosomal RNA
Source: RNAcentral